This 468-nucleotide ribosomal RNA is filed under the name uncultured bacterium. Its description in RNAcentral is "partial 16S ribosomal RNA". It matches the Rfam family "Bacterial small subunit ribosomal RNA", at positions 28 to 507 of the family's 1533-position model. The record is from RNAcentral.
GAUGAACGCUGGCGGCGUGCUUAACACAUGCAAGUCGAACGGAAAGGCCCAAGCUUGCUUGGGUACUCGAGUGGCGAACGGGUGAGUAACACGUGGGUGAUCUGCCCUGCACUUCGGGAUAAGCCUGGGAAACUGGGUCUAAUACCGGAUAGGACGAUGGUUUGGAUGCCAUUGUGGAAAGUUUUUUCGGUGUGGGAUGAGCUCGCGGCCUAUCAGCUUGUUGGUGGGGUAAUGGCCUACCAAGGCGUCGACGGGUAGCCGGCCUGAGAGGGUGUACGGCCACAUUGGAACUGAGAUAGGGGCCAGACUCCUACGGGAGGCAGCAGUGGGGAAUAUUGGACAAUGGGCGCAAGCCUGAUGCAGCGACGCCGCGUGGGGGAUGACGGCCUUCGGGUUGUAAACUCCUUUCGCUAGGGACGAAGCGUUUUUGUGACGGUACCUGGAGAAGAAGCACCGGCUAACUACGUG